UAUAUAUAUCUAUUUUUAUUUUUUUUUUUUUUUUUAUUUGUCAAUUUAAAAGUAUAGUUUGUAAUUGUCAAUCAGGUGGUGGUUUAAUUGAUAUUCUCGCUUAUGUGAGUGAGGAGUGAGUGGAAUCCUUUCGACCACAAUUGUUUUCACCAAUUUGACUAUACAUCCAGGAGGAAGAACAAUAUCCCUUAAAAGACUGAUUAGUGCUAAGUAUUUUUUCUGUGGAACGAGGAUGUGCAAUACCUUUCAGGCUGUGGCUGGCCGUAGAGGUUUGUUUGAUCUUAUUUUCAAUGAAUCUGGUUGGCAUUUUGAAAUAAUAUACUAUGUUAUCAUUCCUAUUUCCUAUGCUUUCCUUUU
Jatropha curcas is the source of this 357-nucleotide non-coding RNA. NCBI's taxonomy places the organism in Eukaryota, Viridiplantae, Streptophyta, Magnoliopsida, Malpighiales, Euphorbiaceae. The record is from RefSeq and is a predicted model, not a curated record.